GACGAACGCUGGCGGCGUGCUUAACACAUGCCAGUCGAACGGAAAGGCCUCUUUCGGGGGGUACUCGAGUGGCGAACGGGUGAGUAACACGUGAGUAACCUGCCCUUGACUUUGGGAUAACUUCAGGAAACUGGGGCUAAUACCGGAUAGGAGCUCCUGCUGCAUGGUGGGGGUUGGAAAGUUUCGGCGGUUGGGGAUGGGUUCGCGGCUUAUCAGCUUGUUGGUGGGGGAUUGGCUUACCAAGGCUUUGACGGGUAGCCGGACUGGGAGGGUGACCGGCCACAUUGGGACUGGGAGUCGGCCCAGACUCCUACGGGGGGGAGAAGUGGGGAAGAUUGAAAAAUGGGUGGGAGCCUGAUGCAGCAACGCCGUGGGCGGGAUGACGGUCUUCGGGUUGUAAACCGCUUUCGCUCAUGACGGAGCUUUGUGUGACGGUAGUGGGUAAAGAAGCACCGGCUAACUACGUG
This 467-nucleotide ribosomal RNA is filed under the name uncultured bacterium. Its description in RNAcentral is "partial 16S ribosomal RNA". It matches the Rfam family "Bacterial small subunit ribosomal RNA", at positions 28 to 507 of the family's 1533-position model. The record is from RNAcentral.